GGCUUAAGUGCUGUGGUAUUUACAACCAAUCAAUCUCAACUAGUGGCAGAUUUCUUAGUUCUUUCUCCAUUCCCACCGCUUCACUUUACUAGCCUUAA
Otolemur garnettii (small-eared galago) is the source of this 98-nucleotide unclassified non-coding RNA. It matches the Rfam family "Y RNA". Rfam says of the family: Y RNAs are components of the Ro ribonucleoprotein particle (Ro RNP), in association with Ro60 and La proteins. NCBI's taxonomy places the organism in Eukaryota, Metazoa, Chordata, Mammalia, Primates, Galagidae. The record is from Ensembl.